RNAcentral lists this transfer RNA (77 nucleotides) under Clostridiales bacterium. RNAcentral describes it as "tRNA-Met". It matches the Rfam family "tRNA". Rfam says of the family: Transfer RNA (tRNA) molecules are approximately 80 nucleotides in length. Their secondary structure includes four short double-helical elements and three loops (D, anti-codon, and T loops). Lineage: Bacteria; Bacillati; Bacillota; Clostridia; Eubacteriales. The record is from RNAcentral.
GGCGGCGUAGCUCAGUUGGUCAGAGCAUUCGGUUCAUACCCGAAGUGUCGUUGGUUCAACUCCGACCGCCGCUACCA